AAUAUACUGAACAGAAACAACGAUGUAAAGGUUAUGUAGGCUGGUAGGCUGUACAUGUUGGAUCAGAACCCAUGCUGACUCUGGUAGGCUGUACAUGUUGGAUCAGAAGCCAUGCUGACUGGUUUCCUAGGCUGUACAUGUUGGAUCAGAAGCCAUGCUGACUCUGGUUUUCUAGGCUGUACAUGUUGGAUCAGAACCCAUGCUCACUCUGGUUUCCUAGGCUGUACAUGUUGGAUCAGAACCCAUGUUGACUCUGGUAGGCUGUACAUGUUGGAUCAGAACCCAUGCUGACUCUGGUUUCCUAGGCUGUACAUGUUGGAUCAGAACCCAUUCUGACUCUGGUUUCCUAGGCUGUACAUGUUGGAUCAGAACCCAUGCUGACUCUGGUAGGCUGUACAUGUUGGAUCAGAACCCAUGCUGACUCUGGUAGGUUGUACAUGUUGGAUCAGAACCCAUGCUGACUCUGGUAGGCUGUACAUGUUGGAUCAGAACCCAUGCUGACUCUGGUAGGCUGUAUAUGUUGGAUCAGAACCCAUGCUUACUCUGGUAGGUUGUACAUGUUGAAUCAGAACCCAUCCUGCCUCUAGCUUCCUAGGCUGUACAUGUUGGAUCAGAACCCAUGCUGACUCUGAUAGCCUAGGCUGUAUAUUUUGCAGAACCCAUUCUGACUCUGGUAACCUUGGCUGUAAAUGUUGGAUCAGAACCCACACUGACUGGUAUCCAAGGAUGUAAAUAUUGGAUCAGAACCCAUGCUGACUCUGAUAGCCUAGGCUGUAUAUUUUGCAGAACCCAUUCUGACUCUGGUAACCUUGGCUGUAAAUGUUGGAUCAGAACCCACACUGACUGGUAUCCAAGGAUGUAAAUAUUGGAUCAGAACCCAUGCUGACUCUGGUAGACAGUACAUGUUGGAUCAGAACCCAUGCUGUUGGAUCAGAACCCAUGCUGAUCAGAACCCAUGCCUGGUAGCCUAGGCUGUAUAUUUUACAAAUAAGAAUGUGCUCUUAAGUGACUUGCCU
This is a long non-coding RNA of Oncorhynchus tshawytscha (Chinook salmon), 1016 nucleotides long. The record is from Ensembl. NCBI's taxonomy places the organism in Eukaryota, Metazoa, Chordata, Actinopteri, Salmoniformes, Salmonidae.